UUUUCUCCUUUUCACAGGUGUUGACUGUACCCUGGUUUUGUUUAUUGGGUUUCAAUUAGAGCUUAUUUUAUAAAGUGAUCUGAACAUAACCAAGUAAGAGAAUAAAAAACCCUAAAAUAAAAUAAGGAUCUGUUGAGUGUGAGAGAGUGCUCCUAAAGAUAAAGAAAAACAAGAUGCUCAGUUGCCACAGCCUCAGGUGCCACUGUAAUCCCUGGAAGAGAUGAAGAGUAAGAACUUGGAGGCUACUCAAAGCAAAGAUAUUGCAGCUCCCCCACCCCUACACCCCAAGCCCCAUUUCCCCAGGCCUUGCUCUGCCACCUGGAAUCAGCCUGGCUGGGGCUUGGGCACAGGGAAUGGGGCUAGGCACACUUAGGCUCAGAAGCAGAGAGGCUGACCAGAGAGCCUGUUUUCAGGGAGGGACAGAAUAAGGCAUAGCACUAGUGUAAGGUCCUAGCACAUUACAGGCGAAGGGGGUCUAAGGGCUACCGUAGUCUAAUCUGUGCAUUUUUACAGAGUAGUGGACAGAGGCCCAUAGGGAUUCAGAGGCUUGCUCAAGGACAAAUGGCAGUAUCAAAACACUCUAGCAGCACCAGGCUCACAGUAGGUGCAAAAAAGAUGUGAGCUCUUUCCCCUUCCCUUAAGGACAGCAACAAAAAGGCUGGAAAACUUCCUCAUUGCCCCUCACUUCCAGGCCUGGGUUCUUCUGCUUUGGCUACAAUUUUUGCUAUGCUAGGAUAGCCAGUACAUUCUGCCAUCACUGAGGUUCUUCUCUGGCUUUCUCCUUUGAUUUACUUGGACAGAACAUUUCUGAACUGAACCAAACCAAACCAAACAAAAAUACUCCCAGUCAUGUAGAAAGUUAUAGGCUAUCUGAUUCUAAAGGGCUGGUAAUCACUAAUAUAAUAGAUGCUGCUUAGGACUGUAGCCUGAUCUUCUGGAAGUAGAAGCAAGAUGCAAUAUGCUACACACGACAAUAACUUUUGAAAAAUCGGUUGCCCUUAUUAUGAAUGAAACUUACAUUAUUGAAACAAAAUAAAUAAGAAAACAAAAACCUGUAAUUCUACCAGUCAGCAAGACUAUUACCAUAUUAUGUGCCCUUCCAGUUUCUAUAUAUAACAUGUAAUAUAUAUAGAUAUAUAGAUAUAGAUAGAUUUUAAAAAUUGAGGUGA
This 1169-nucleotide long non-coding RNA is filed under the name Homo sapiens (human). RNAcentral describes it as "long non-coding RNA NONHSAT233075". Lineage: Eukaryota; Metazoa; Chordata; Mammalia; Primates; Hominidae. The record is from RNAcentral.